GACGAACGCUGGCGGCGUGCUUAACACAUGCAAGUCGAGCGGAAAGGCCCUUCGGGGUACUCGAGCGGCGAACGGGUGAGUAACACGUGAGUAACCUGCCCCAGACUUUGGGAUAACCCUCGGAAACGGGGGCUAAUACCGGAUACGACACAGCUUCGCAUAGGGUCUGUGUGGAAAGUUUUUCGGUUUGGGAUGGGCUCGCGGCCUAUCAGCUUGUUGGUGGGGUGAUGGCCUACCAAGGCGACGACGGGUAGCCGGCCUGAGAGGGCGACCGGCCACACUGGGACUGAGACACGGCCCAGACUCCUACGGGAGGCAGCAGUGGGGAAUAUUGCACAAUGGGCGGAAGCCUGAUGCAGCGACGCCGCGUGAGGGAUGACGGCCUUCGGGUUGUAAACCUCUUUCAGCAGGGACGAAGCGUAAGUGACGGUACCUGCAGAAGAAGCGCCGGCCAACUACGUG
RNAcentral lists this ribosomal RNA (462 nucleotides) under uncultured bacterium. Its description in RNAcentral is "partial 16S ribosomal RNA". It matches the Rfam family "Bacterial small subunit ribosomal RNA", at positions 28 to 507 of the family's 1533-position model. The record is from RNAcentral.